This 913-nucleotide ribosomal RNA is filed under the name uncultured bacterium. RNAcentral's name for it is "bacterial SSU rRNA". It matches the Rfam family "Bacterial small subunit ribosomal RNA", at positions 1 to 899 of the family's 1533-position model. The record is from RNAcentral.
CCUUAGAGUUUGAUCCUGGCUCAGGACGAACGCUGGCGGCGUGCCUAAUACAUGCAAGUAGAACGCUGAAGACUUUAGCUUGCUAAAGUUGGAAGAGUUGCGAACGGGUGAGUAACGCGUAGGUAACCUGCCUACUAGCGGGGGAUAACUAUUGGAAACGAUAGCUAAUACCGCAUAACAGCAUUUAACCCAUGUUAGAUGCUUGAAAGGAGCAAUUGCUUCACUAGUAGAUGGACCUGCGUUGUAUUAGCUAGUUGGUGAGGUAACGGCUCACCAAGGCGACGAUACAUAGCCGACCUGAGAGGGUGAUCGGCCACACUGGGACUGAGACACGGCCCAGACUCCUACGGGAGGCAGCAGUAGGGAAUCUUCGGCAAUGGGGGCAACCCUGACCGAGCAACGCCGCGUGAGUGAAGAAGGUUUUCGGAUCGUAAAGCUCUGUUGUAAGAGAAGAACGUGUGUGAGAGUGGAAAGUUCACACAGUGACGGUAACUUACCAGAAAGGGACGGCUAACUACGUGCCAGCAGCCGCGGUAAUACGUAGGUCCCGAGCGUUGUCCGGAUUUAUUGGGCGUAAAGCGAGCGCAGGCGGUUUAAUAAGUCUGAAGUUAAAGGCAGUGGCUUAACCAUUGUUCGCUUUGGAAACUGUUAGACUUAAGUGCAGAAGGGGAGAGUGGAAUUCCAUGUGUAGCGGUGAAAUGCGUAGAUAUAUGGAGGAACACCGGUGGCGAAAGCGGCUCUCUGGUCUGUAACUGACGCUGAGGCUCGAAAGCGUGGGGAGCAAACAGGAUUAGAUACCCUGGUAGUCCACGCCGUAAACGAUGAGUGCUAGGUGUUAGGCCCUUUCCGGGGCUUAGUGCCGCAGCUAACGCAUUAAGCACUCCGCCUGGGGAGUACGACCGCAAGGUUGAAA